AGAGUUUGAUCCUGGCUCAGGACGAACGCUGGCGGCGUGCCUAAUACAUGCAAGUCGAGCGGACUUAAAAAGCUUGCUUUUUAAGUUAGCGGCGGACGGGUGAGUAACACGUGGGCAACCUGCCUGUAAGACUGGGAUAACUUCGGGAAACCGGAGCUAAUACCGGAUAAUCCUUUUCUACUCAUGUAGAAAAGCUGAAAGACGGUUUACGCUGUCACUUACAGAUGGGCCCGCGGCGCAUUAGCUAGUUGGUGAGGUAACGGCUCACCAAGGCGACGAUGCGUAGCCGACCUGAGAGGGUGAUCGGCCACACUGGGACUGAGACACGGCCCAGACUCCUACGGGAGGCAGCAGUAGGGAAUCUUCCGCAAUGGACGAAAGUCUGACGGAGCAACGCCGCGUGAGUGAUGAAGGUUUUCGGAUCGUAAAACUCUGUUGUUAGGGAAGAACAAGUACGAGAGUAACUGCUCGUACCUUGACGGUACCUAACCAGAAAGCCACGGCUAACUACGUGCCAGCAGCCGCGGUAAUACGUAGGUGGCAAGCGUUGUCCGGAAUUAUUGGGCGUAAAGCGCGCGCAGGCGGUCCUUUAAGUCUGAUGUGAAAGCCCACGGCUCAACCGUGGAGGGUCAUUGGAAACUGGGGGACUUGAGUGCAGAAGAGAAGAGUGGAAUUCCACGUGUAGCGGUGAAAUGCGUAGAGAUGUGGAGGAACACCAGUGGCGAAGGCGACUCNNGGUCUGUAACNGACGNGA
This 754-nucleotide ribosomal RNA is filed under the name Niallia nealsonii. Its description in RNAcentral is "bacterial SSU rRNA". It matches the Rfam family "Bacterial small subunit ribosomal RNA", at positions 8 to 749 of the family's 1533-position model. Lineage: Bacteria; Bacillati; Bacillota; Bacilli; Caryophanales; Bacillaceae. The record is from RNAcentral.